CCUACGGGAGGCAGCAGUGGGGAAUAUUGGGCAAUGGGCGCAAGCCUGACCCAGCAACGCCGCGUGAGUGAAGAAGGCUUUCGGGAUGUAAACUUCUUUUAUUAAGGACGAAACAAAUGACGGUACUCGAUCAAUAAGCCACGGCUAACUACGUGCCAGCAGCCGCGGUAAUACGUAGGUGGCAAGCGUUAUCCGGAUUUACUGGGUGUAAAGGGCGCGUAGGCGGGCUUGCAAGUCAGAUGUGAAAGGCAUGGGCUCAACCCACGGCCUGCAGUUGAAACUGUAGUGCUUGAGUGAUGGAGAGGCAGGCGGAAUUCCGGGUGUAGCGGUGAAAUGCGUAGAUAUAAGGAGGAACACCAGUGGCGAAGGCGGCCUGCUGGACAGUAACUGACGCUGAGGCGCGAAAGCGUGGGGAGCAAACAGGAUUAGAUACCCGAGUAGUC
This 443-nucleotide ribosomal RNA is filed under the name uncultured bacterium. RNAcentral's name for it is "partial 16S ribosomal RNA". It matches the Rfam family "Bacterial small subunit ribosomal RNA", at positions 338 to 795 of the family's 1533-position model. The record is from RNAcentral.